Molecule: non-coding RNA, 582 nt
Organism: Paramuricea clavata
Lineage: Eukaryota; Metazoa; Cnidaria; Anthozoa; Malacalcyonacea; Plexauridae
Source: the annotation of a GenBank genome assembly
AUUGUCAUUGUUUUCUUUAAAUAUAAUACAUUUUAUUUCACUUACCCCCCACGAAAACACGAUUUCAGCCAUAUUUUGCAGUCUUGUUUGCCUUUUAUCGCCGAAUCUGGCAAAUAUCAUCCAGUUGUUGUACUUUUACAUAAUCAUAAAUGGCUGAAGAAGAUUUCAAAAAAGGUUUCAUCAAGUUGUGAGACAGUGCAGUGUAUUUUACCUUCGAUAUUGUGUCCUUCGAUAUUUCGUCAAAUUGCCGCCAUUUUAAUGGCUCGCCGCUUCUCUGCCCGAUAAAUGCCACUUCUUCGUUUUCAUAUGUAUUUAGAUUACAGUAUCCAAGAGUACUUCAUUGUAGAAUAGUCCCAAUCGAAAAAUUGACAACAUUUGUCCCAUUUAGAAGGAAAAACCCUCCCGUAUACCAUUUAGGUUCAAACGUUUCGUGAAAAUAUUCACCCCCCCUGUCAUGUGUCCACGAGAAGUUUUCGCGAAGAUUGCGCGUGACUUUCAAAUGAUUUGUUUUUUAUUUUGAAGCUAUAUGGUAUACAGGAGGGUUUUUCCUUCCAAAUGGGACAAAUAUUGUCAAUUUUUCGA